UACGUAGGGCGCAAGCGUUAUCCGGGGUUAUUGGGCGUAAAGAGCUCGUAGGCGGUUUGUCGCGUCUGCCGUGAAAGUCCGGGGCUCAACUCCGGAUCUGCGGUGGGUACGGGCAGACUAGAGUGAUGUAGGGGAGACUGGAAUUCCUGGUGUAGCGGUGAAAUGCGCAGAUAUCAGGAGGAACACCGAUGGCGAAGGCAGGUCUCUGGGCAUUAACUGACGCUGAGGAGCGAAAGCAUGGGGAGCGAACAGG
Molecule: ribosomal RNA, 253 nt
Filed under: uncultured bacterium
Lineage: Bacteria
Description: partial 16S ribosomal RNA
Rfam family: Bacterial small subunit ribosomal RNA
Source: RNAcentral